This 1818-nucleotide ribosomal RNA is filed under the name Sphaerospora hankai. RNAcentral describes it as "partial 18S ribosomal RNA". The stretch from base 1 to 1049 matches the Rfam family "Eukaryotic small subunit ribosomal RNA". Lineage: Eukaryota; Metazoa; Cnidaria; Myxozoa; Bivalvulida; Sphaerosporidae. The record is from RNAcentral.
UGGAUAACUGUGGGAAACUAGAACUAAUACAUGUCAACUGCUAUCACGGGGUAGCGUGCAUUUAUUCUUGCCCAAAACCAACACUGACUAAGCUAAGCGUAUGCUGGCUGCGUGCCGGUUCGCCGGUGCGUGGUUGGUGUGCGUGCACGGCUCAGGCAUGUACACGGUGAUUCUGAAUAACUGAUGCUGAUCGUACAGGGCCCGCGUGCCCAUGAUAUUUCAAUCAAAUUCCUGCCCUAUCAUAUUUGUUGGUAGAGUAGCGGCCUACCAAGGUGACGACGGGUAACGGGGAAUCAGGGUUCGAUUCCGGAGAGGGAGCCUGAGAAACAGCUACCACGUCCAAGGAUGGCAGCAGGCGCGCAAACUAUCCAAUCCAGAUUCUGGGAGAUGGUGACGAGACAUAUUGGAACUCACCAGCAUUGCUGGUCGAGUUACCAGAUAGACUACAACCUAAGACAGUGCUAAAAUAAUCAACAGGAGGGCAAGUCUGGUGCCAGCAGCCGCGGUAAUACCAGCUCCUGUGGCCUAUAUGGUCGUUGCUGCGGUUAAAAAGCUCGUAGUUGAAAUACGGUGCGCUCGAGAGCUGUAUCAGCGGUGAGCCUGCCUCUCAUGGAUCAGGCAGUGUGUGUAAAAUCACAUUGUCUGGCGUGACUGUUGCAGUUUGUGGGCCAGUGUGUACUGUGCUCCGCAUUGGUGUGGCGCAUCAGGGUACGUGGCGCAAGUCACGUGCACUGGGUGUGUUGUGCCAGUCCGUGGGUGUCGGCACUGGUUCAUUUCAUCAUUGAGACGACAUUAGAGUGUGCUUUCUCGUCCAGCCCCCGUGACAUAUCCUUAACUGGAUACACGGGACGCUAGGCGAAUUGUGCCUUGAGUAAAAUAGAGUGCUCAAAGCAGGCUAGGCAUGUAAAAGUGUCAUUGCCCGUAUACUCCAGCAUGGAACGAAUGUCCAAUUGCUUGAACCACCCUGCGGCCUGGUUCGUUGGUUGAGUGUCUGUGUGCGCGGUGCAAGUCGCGUGCAUGGUCUCGGUAUGUGCGUAGAGCGUUCAGUGUGUGGUGUGCACGCAAGUGUGCACUUACUACUGGGCAAGCUGGCGCACGAACUCCAGGUCGUAUCCGUGUGAGUGUGUACCCGGCGGCGAGACCAGAGUUCAUUUGUGUGUAUGUAAACGGUCACCGUGAUGGUGUCACAGGUCUCCUACCACUGCCAUCGCCAGGCUGGCUGCGCGCACGUCCGUGCAGGCGCACUGUUACAUUAUGUGUGUGGCAGUGCGUCUGUGGGGGCGAGUCAUGUGCGCAGCUUGAAUCUGCGUGAUGUCUUGCAGUGUAGGAGUCUAUACUGUGCGCUCGCGGUCCGGCUCUGUGUAUAUGCGUGUGAGAGCACAAUAACAUUGUCUCUCACCCAGACAUACAUGUGUGCAGCCGCGUGUGUGUGCGAGGUCAGUGUGCCAUACCAAAGCCACCCUUGCCCCCUCGCAUCAGUGUACACGUGUUGAGGCUUGUGGUGUUGUGUGUGUCUCAAAAAAGCACCCACCCUUCUGGCAGCCACCGUUUAGUGCGGUGCGUCUCCGUUGUGGUGCCGGUGUGAGGCACAUCAAGCACACCCACAUGCUAGCCCUCAGCGUGAUCAACGCACUGGUGAUGAUGGCUUGCGGUGGUGGCACUGCUGCCACCUCCACGCUAUAGCACACCGGACAAAACUGCACUCUUGUGUAUGUGCGCGUGUUUCACUCGCCUCGGGAAUGAUGCCACUUGUGCGUAUGGGUAUCGGUUAACAGAGACAUUUGGGGGCAUUAGUAUUUGGCAGCGAGAGGUGAAAUU